ACAGCAAUUUACCUAAGGCCUCAAGGCCACCGCCCCGCGCAGUGCAUGGAGGUGGGAAGGGAAAGGAGGAAAGGGCUUGUCCAGAGGCCCUUCACCUCGGCCCCCGGGCUCCGCGCGACUUGCCUGGCUCCGCGGGCAGCAGGGAGGAUGAGGCGCCGUCAGGGGGCGAGGGCACCGCCUAGUUCCGCGGGCCAGUCAGGAGGCGGCCCAUUAUCCGGCGUCGUUAAAGAGCAAUUAGAUGGAAAUUAAGCCGAGAACAAGUAUUGAUUAUCUCAUUAAGGCCGGGGGAGCCCGCUCUGUCGGUGCGAGUUUAGCGCCGCUCACUCCAUUAUCUGCAAGGUCUGUGGGCUCCCAGUCCUCCAGCACUCAAGUCCACUCCUCCUCCACCAUAGUGGGACCUCUUCGUAACCCAGUCCUCCCAAAGCCGUCUUCCUCACCUCACCGCAGUCCUGGCCCAAACUGCCCGGGGACGGGCCCACCCAGGGGGUCCCGGCCGGGCCGCUCCUCCGCCCUCCCAUGGGACCCGCUGCGUCCUAGAGCCCCAGCUUGUCUUCGAGCUUCGCUGCCUCCCGCUCGCUGUCUGCCUCGCUCCCGCCUUCCUCCCUUCUCCCUCCUCCAGCCGCAUCAGAAAUAUAUUGUAGUAUUCUCACCUAAUCCUGUUCAAUUACAGCAUAAUAAAACACAUAAUAAAAACCUAAUUCAUUUUUCUCCCGCGCCUCCCAUCUCCCGGCAUCUUCUAGCUCGGGAUUAAAAAUUUGUCUUCAUGUUUGUGGCACCGCAAUCCCGGCGCCUCCGCAUCUUUAAUGUAUGAGCCGGGGAGCUAGAGAUCCGCGGAUUCUGCGGUCUUCGCGCCGGGAAGGCGCCUGCCAGUCACCUAAGGAUGCAGGCGGGGAAGGAUGGAGAAGCGUAGACUUGCGUGGGGCCCUAGCGGUGGCCACCCGCUCGCGUCCACAGGAUGAGGGCUCAAAGGCCCCCAGAUUUCCAGGGGCAGAGAGAAAGCACGUGCGUCCUGUCCGACAGACCCCGUGUGGCCUCUAGGGGGCGCAGUGUGGGGCAGAUCUCUGGGAAGGGCCUUU
Molecule: long non-coding RNA, 1076 nt
Filed under: Equus caballus (horse)
Lineage: Eukaryota; Metazoa; Chordata; Mammalia; Perissodactyla; Equidae
Description: lncRNA (ENSECAG00000058291.1)
Source: RNAcentral